RNAcentral lists this ribosomal RNA (520 nucleotides) under uncultured bacterium. RNAcentral describes it as "partial 16S ribosomal RNA". It matches the Rfam family "Bacterial small subunit ribosomal RNA", at positions 28 to 507 of the family's 1533-position model. The record is from RNAcentral.
GACGAACGCUGGCGGCGUGCCUAAUACAUGCAAGUCGAGCGCACUCUCGUUUAGAUUGAAGGAGUUUGCUCCUGAUUGAUAAACAUUUGAGUGAGUGGCGGACGGGUGAGUAACACGUGGGUAACCUGCCCUAAAGUGGGGGAUAACAUUUGGAAACAGAUGCUAAUACCGCAUAAAACCUAACACCGCAUGGUGUAGGGUUGAAAGAUGGUUUCGGCUAUCACUUUAGGAUGGACCCGCGGUGCAUUAGUUAGUUGGUGAGGUAAAGGCUCACCAAGACCGUGAUGCAUAGCCGACCUGAGAGGGUAAUCGGCCACACUGGGACUGAGACACGGCCCAGACUCCUACGGGAGGCAGCAGUAGGGAAUCUUCCACAAUGGACGAAAGUCUGAUGGAGCAACGCCGCGUGAGUGAAGAAGGUUUUCGGAUCGUAAAACUCUGUUGUUGGAGAAGAAUGUAUCUGAUAGUAACUGAUCAGGUAGUGACGGUAUCCAACCAGAAAGCCACGGCUAACUACGUG